This 24-nucleotide transfer RNA is filed under the name Astur gentilis schvedowi. Its description in RNAcentral is "Accipiter gentilis schvedowi partial tRNA-Thr". The record is from RNAcentral. RNAcentral also lists the same sequence under 7 other names. Lineage: Eukaryota; Metazoa; Chordata; Aves; Accipitriformes; Accipitridae.
GAAGACUACUCCCUUCUUAGAGUU